This 198-nucleotide ribosomal RNA is filed under the name uncultured bacterium. RNAcentral describes it as "partial 16S ribosomal RNA". It matches the Rfam family "Bacterial small subunit ribosomal RNA", at positions 1295 to 1500 of the family's 1533-position model. The record is from RNAcentral.
GGAUCGGAGUCUGNAACCCGACUCCGUGAAGCUGGAUUCGCUAGUAAUCGCGCAUCAGCCAUGGCGCGGUGAAUACGUUCCCGGGCCUUGUACACACCGCCCGUCAAGCCAUGGAAGCCGGGGGCGCUUGAAGUGCGUUGCCGCAAGGCGCGCCCUAGAGCGAAACCGGUGACUGGGGCUAAGUCGUAACAAGGUAUC